RNAcentral lists this ribosomal RNA (389 nucleotides) under uncultured bacterium. Its description in RNAcentral is "bacterial SSU rRNA". It matches the Rfam family "Bacterial small subunit ribosomal RNA", at positions 28 to 417 of the family's 1533-position model. The record is from RNAcentral.
GACGAACGCUGGCGGCGUGCUUAACACAUGCAAGUCGAACGUUAAGGCCCUUCGGGUACACGAGUGGCGAACGGGUGAGUAACACGUGGGUGAUCUGCCCUGCGACUUCGGGAUAAGCUUGGGAAACUGGGUCUAAUACCGGAGUAGGACCAUUGGACUUCACGGUUUGUGGUGGAAAGCUUUUGCGGUGUGGAUGGGCCCGCGGCCUAUCAGCUUGUUGGUGGGGUAAUGGCCUACCAAGGCGACGACGGGUAGCCGGGCCUGAGAGGGUGUCCGGCCACACUGGGGACUGAGAUACGGCCCCAGACUCCUACGGGAGGCAGCAGUGGGGAAUAUUGCACAAUGGGCGCAAGCCUGAUGCAGCGACGCCGCGUGAGGGAUGACGGCCU